Molecule: ribosomal RNA, 461 nt
Filed under: uncultured bacterium
Lineage: Bacteria
Description: partial 16S ribosomal RNA
Rfam family: Bacterial small subunit ribosomal RNA
Source: RNAcentral
CCUACGGGUGGCAGCAGUGAGGAAUAUUGGUCAAUGGACGCAAGUCUGAACCAGCCAUGCCGCGUGCAGGAAGACGGCUCUAUGAGUUGUAAACUGCUUUUGUCCGAGGGUAAAUCCCGAUACGUGUCUCCGGUUGAGGGUAUCGUACGCAUAAGCAUCGGCUAACUCCGUGCCAGCAGCCGCGGUAAUACGUAGGGAGCAAGCGUUGUUCGGAAUGACUGGGCGUAAAGGGUGCGUAGGCGGUUGUACAAGUUAGAUGUGGAAUACCCAGGGCUUAACUCGGGUGCUGCUGCUAAAACUGUAUGACUUGAGUGCAGGAGAGGUUAGUGGAAUGCCUAGUGUAGCGGUGGAAUGCGUAGAUAUUAGGAGGAACACCAGAGGCGAAGGCGGCUAACUGGACUGCAACUGACGCUGAGGCACGAAAGUGUGGGGAGCAAACAGGAUUAGAUACCCUUGUAGUC